RNAcentral lists this ribosomal RNA (460 nucleotides) under uncultured bacterium. RNAcentral describes it as "partial 16S ribosomal RNA". It matches the Rfam family "Bacterial small subunit ribosomal RNA", at positions 338 to 795 of the family's 1533-position model. The record is from RNAcentral.
CCUACGGGAGGCAGCAGUGAGGAAUAUUGGUCAAUGGACGAGAGUCUGAACCAGCCAAGUAGCGUGAAGGAUGACUGCCCUAUGGGUUGUAAACUUCUUUUAUAUGGGAAUAAAAUGUUCCACGUGUGGGAUUUUGUAUGUACCAUAUGAAUAAGGAUCGGCUAACUCCGUGCCAGCAGCCGCGGUAAUACGGAGGAUCCGAGCGUUAUCCGGAUUUAUUGGGUUUAAAGGGAGCGUAGGUGGAUUGUUAAGUCAGUUGUGAAAGUUUGCGGCUCAACCGUAAAAUUGCAGUUGAAACUGGCAGUCUUGAGUACAGUAGAGGUGGGCGGAAUUCGUGGUGUAGCGGUGAAAUGCUUCGAUAUCACGAAGAACUCCGAUUGCGAAGGCAGUUCACUGGACUGCAACUGACACUGAGGCUCGAAAGUGUGGGUAUCAAACAGGAUUAGAUACCCGAGUAGUC